RNAcentral lists this ribosomal RNA (944 nucleotides) under uncultured archaeon. RNAcentral describes it as "bacterial SSU rRNA". It matches the Rfam family "Archaeal small subunit ribosomal RNA", at positions 1 to 940 of the family's 1478-position model. The record is from RNAcentral.
GAAUUCACUAGUGAUUUCUGGUUGAUCCUGCCAGACCCGACUGCUAUCAGAGUGGGACUAAGCCAUGCGAGUCAACGUAGCAAUGCGUGGCGAACGGCUCAGUAACACGUAGUCAACAUGCCCAGGGGACGUGGAUAACCUCGGGAAACUGAGAUUAAACCGCGAUAGGUCAAGAUUUCUGGAAUGGAUCGUGUCUUAAAUCUACAUGGCCCCUGGAUUGGACUGCGGCCGAUCAGGCUGUUGGUGAGGUAAUGGCCCACCAAACCUAUAACCGGUACGGGCUCUGAGAGGAGAAGCCCGGAGAUGGCACUGAGACAAGGGCCCAGGCCCUAUGGGGCGCAGCAGGCGCGAAACCUCUGCAAUGGGCGAAAGCCUGACAGGGUUACUCUGAGUGAUUUCCGCUAAGGAGAUCUUUUGGCAGCUCUAAAAAUGGUGCAGAAUAAGGGGUGGGCAAGUCUGGUGUCAGCCGCCGCGGUAAUACCAGCACCCCGAGUGGUCGGGACGAUUAUUGGGCCUAAAGCAUCCGUAGCCGGUUGUGCAAGUCCUCCGUUAAAUCCAGCCGCUCAACGGAUGGGCUGCGGAGGAUACUACAGGACUAGGAGGCGGGAGAGGCAAGCGGUACUUAGUGGGUAGGGGUAAAAUCCUUUGAUCCAUUGAAGACCACCAGUGGCGAAGGCGGCUUGCCAGAACGCGCUCGACGGUGAGGGAUGAAAGCUGGGGGAGCAAACCGAAUUAGAUACCCGGGUAGUCCCAGCUGUAAACGAUGCAGACUCGGUGAUGGGCUAGCCUCGUGUCAGCCCAGUGCCGCAGGGAAGCCGUUAAGUCUGCCGCCUGGGGAGUACGGUCGCAAGACUGAAACUUAAAGGAAUUGGCGGGGGAGCACCACAAGGGGUGAAGCCUGCGGUUCAAUUGGAUUCAACGCCGGAAAUCGAAUUCCCGCGGCC